This 253-nucleotide ribosomal RNA is filed under the name uncultured bacterium. RNAcentral describes it as "partial 16S ribosomal RNA". It matches the Rfam family "Bacterial small subunit ribosomal RNA", at positions 524 to 776 of the family's 1533-position model. The record is from RNAcentral.
UACGUAGGGUCCAAGCGUUAUCCGGAUUUACUGGGUGUAAAGGGCGAGUAGACGGCGCAAUAAGUCAGAUGUGAAAUCUUAGGGCUCAACCUUAAGACUGCAUCUGAAACUGUUGUGCUAGAGUGCAGAAGAGGUAAGUGGAAUUCCUAGUGUAGCGGUGAAAUGCGUAGAUAUUAGGAGGAACACCAGUGGCGAAGGCGACUUACUGGGCUGUAACUGACGUUGAGGCGCGAAAGUGUGGGGAGCAAACAGG